Molecule: ribosomal RNA, 253 nt
Filed under: uncultured bacterium
Lineage: Bacteria
Description: partial 16S ribosomal RNA
Rfam family: Bacterial small subunit ribosomal RNA
Source: RNAcentral
UACGUAGGGUGCGAGCGUUGUCCGGAAUUAUUGGGCGUAGAGAGCUCGUAGGCGGUUUGUCGCGUCUGCCGUGAAAGUCCGGGGCUCAACUCCGGAUCUGCGGUGGGUACGGGCAGACUAGAGUGAUGUAGGGGAGACUGGAAUUCCUGGUGUAGCGGUGAAAUGCGCAGAUAUCAGGAGGAACACCGAUGGCGAAGGCAGGUCUCUGGGCAUUAACUGACGCUGAGGAGCGAAAGCAUGGGGAGCGAACAGG